CCUGCUUUAGGCAUCUCAAAUUACAACAAACCAUUUACUUUGUAUGUAUACAAACAGAUUGGGGUAGCUUCAGCUGUUUUAACUCAAACUUUGGGACCUGCUCAGCACCUAGUUACUUAUUAUUAGGCCCAACUGGAUUCAAUAGCUUCAGGAGCACUACCAUGUCUUAGAGGCAUAGUUGCCACAGAUUUGCUAGUGACUAAAUCUGCUGAUUUAAUAUUGGGAUGCCUUUUAACCAUAAUGUGCACACAUGAAGUUGAGGCAUUGUUGCUACAACAUAGAAUACAGGCAUUUUCUGAUCAGAGAAUUACAAGAUAUGAGGUAACCUUGUUAAAUAAUGAAAAUAUUACAUUAAAAUUCUAUGCAGUUCUAAAUCCUGCAACCUUGCUUCUUGAUUUACCACUUUCAGGAGAACCUUUGGACAGUUGUGAAUCUUUGGGAAAGAUCAGACCAGGAAAUUAUAUUUCCCAUAUGCUUCAAAAAUCUAGUCCCUUUUAUGUAUGUCAUACUGGAAAUUUACUUUCAUCCUGGCUGCUGAGUGGGUAAGUACAUGAUUGCUAUUACAGGCUUAUCAGACAUAAAUCACUUUAAUUGGGCCCUGAUUCAAGGACCUGUUAUAAUCUUAGUUUUCCUUCCUUAGGAUUUUUACAUAUAAGACAGAUAUUCUAUAUUUCAUCCAGUAGUUACUUUUUUCUCUUUUAUUUACAUUUUGUGAUGUUUUUUAUUUUUAUUUUUUGGCAAAUGAUUCAUAUACCUUAUAACUCAGCUAUGUAUCCCUGUGUGAUCUCUGUAUUUGUCAAUAUCCUCCUCAGGGAGAAAUGUAUUAUUAUUCUAUUUUGCAAACUUUAAUUUCUUUUGAAAGUAAUUUUAGAAUAAGACAUGUUCUACAUCCCAGAAUCUGGAAAAGUGAAUUGCUUACAGAAGGUGCCAUGAAUAUGCCUGCAGAAACCACAUAUUGCUCCAAAAGAUUCUGAGUGAACUUUUGGAUAUGCUGAAUUGAACUUUGGGAGGUUGAAUGUAUUUGUUUUGAAUGUAUACUUUUAUACCAAAGGGGACUUUUCCUUAAUUGGUUUUGUUCUUUUUCCCUUUCUUUCCCUCUUAUCCCCCAAUUUUUGUAAUUUCCCCUUAGAAACUACAAUACUAUAUGUACCUUUAGUUAAAAAUCUUUAGAGUUAUAAGUUGGUUAUGUUUAAAAUGAUCUAUUGAGGAGACUGGUCUCCCAAUGGAUCCCAGGUGGGGGAGGGGUUAAAAAUUGUACCCUGGGAACUACAUCUCCCAGAAUUCUCUACUUUUCUCAGGGUUCCCUUUUCUGACAUCUUGGAGUGGGUUGGACUAUAAAAGGGCUGAUCCCACUCCAGAAGGGGGUCUUUGCUAGGGCUCAAGUUGGCAGGUUACUGGGGCUCUGGCUCUUGUCUCUGCUCGCGUCCUUUUUCUCUCUCUUAUCCCUUAUUUUUAUCCUUACAAUACCAAGAGUGACUCAUAUGUCCUUGUUCCUUUCAUCAAAGUUGGGAGUGACAUGGUCUCAAGGAGAAACUUAACCAAGUAGAUCCCAAAUUAAGUGGUUUCCCUCAUCCAGAUUGCUAGAGGCAGCUUGAAUCUCAUGAUUAGACCAUGUUUUCAAUUUUUAAUUCUCCUCCCUAAACAUAAGGAAUUGAGAACUCUUAGCCCUUCUCCUCAUUAAAUAUCCAACAAUCAGAGUUGCCUUUCACUUGUCAGGAGACACCCAUAUUUGAGGGUUUAAACUGCCCCAGAACACUUUGCUGGUAUCUUUGGUCACCAGGAGAGAUAACUGACCUCAAUUUAGUAUUUUCCAGCCUGAAUAAUAAAUUUAUUUUUCAUACCA
Long non-coding RNA from Monodelphis domestica (gray short-tailed opossum), 1843 nucleotides. The record is from Ensembl. NCBI's taxonomy places the organism in Eukaryota, Metazoa, Chordata, Mammalia, Didelphimorphia, Didelphidae.